AACCAUAGAAACCUGCGGAGUACCUGCGGAGGGAUCAUUACAGAGUUGCAAAACUCCCUAAACCAUUGUGAACCUACCUUCUACCGUUGCUUCGGCGGGCGGGCCUAGCGCCCCCCCGGCCCCCCGCGGGCGCCCGCCGGAGGAUAACCAAACUCUUGACAUCAGUGGCCUCUCUGAGUAUUCUUUACUGAAUAAGUCAAAACUUUUAACAACGGAUCU
Molecule: unclassified non-coding RNA, 219 nt
Filed under: soil metagenome
Description: partial contains 5.8S ribosomal RNA, internal transcribed spacer 2, and large subunit ribosomal RNA
Source: RNAcentral